This 90-nucleotide non-coding RNA is filed under the name unclassified sequences. Its description in RNAcentral is "S4-Clostridia ribosomal protein leader". It matches the Rfam family "S4-Clostridia ribosomal protein leader". The record is from RNAcentral.
GAAAGGGCGUGUUAUAAACAUGCCUGGGCUGGGAUAUCGGUGUAUUUUCGCCGGUAGGACAAGGUGGAAGCGUCCGCAGCCUCAAUUAGA